AGAGUUUGAUCCUGGCUCAGAUUGAACGCUGGCGGCAUGCCUUACACAUGCAAGUCGAACGGCAGCACGGGUGCUUGCACCUGGUGGCGAGUGGCGAACGGGUGAGUAAUAUAUCGNGAACGUACCUUAUCGUGGGGGAUAACGCAGCGAAAGCUGCGCUAAUACCGCAUACGCCCUGAGGGGGAAAGCGGGGGACCGUAAGGCCUCGCGCGAUUAGAGCGGCCGAUAUCUGAUUAGCUUGUUGGUGGGGUAAAAGCCCACCAAGGCGACGAUCAGUAGCUGGUCUGAGAGGACGAUCAGCCACACUGGGACUGAGACACGGCCCAGACUCCUACGGGAGGCAGCAGUGGGGAAUUUUGGACAAUGGGGGCAACCCUGAUCCAGCAAUGCCGCGUGAGUGAAGAAGGCCUUCGGGUUGUAAAGCUCUUUUGUCAGGGAAGAAACAGCAGCUCUAACACAGUCUGCGAAUGACGGUACCUGAAGAAUAAGCACCGGCUAACUACGUGCCAGCAGCCGCGGUAAUACGUAGGGUGCAAGCGUUAAUCGGAAUUACUGGGCGUAAAGCGUGCGCAGGCGGUUAUACAAGACAGGCGUGAAAUCCCCGGG
Molecule: ribosomal RNA, 606 nt
Filed under: uncultured freshwater bacterium
Lineage: Bacteria
Description: bacterial SSU rRNA
Rfam family: Bacterial small subunit ribosomal RNA
Source: RNAcentral